RNAcentral lists this long non-coding RNA (1265 nucleotides) under Anser cygnoides (Swan goose). RNAcentral describes it as "lncRNA (ENSACDG00005018407.1)". Lineage: Eukaryota; Metazoa; Chordata; Aves; Anseriformes; Anatidae. The record is from RNAcentral.
AAAAUGGUGUAGUUAUUUCACUUUACUAGAUUUUUCUGUUCUGAAAUUGUUUCUGGCCUUCUGCUUGUGAAGGACAUGAUUAUGAAUGUGAACGGUUCAGCACUUUGUUACUGACACUGCAGAUUGUCAGUCAAACUGUAGCUCAGAGAUAAAAAGUGUUUCUGUUUUUUGCCAACUAAAAGCAUUGCAACAGCAGUUUGAAUGUUAACUAUUUAGAUGCCACUCCUUUUAGCAGAGUGCUUCAGCUGUUACAAAAUUCUAAGUGAAGUACAAUUAGCACCAGUGCUGACAAAGAAAAUUAAGAUCCAAGAAAACUGAUAAAAAAGGACAUUGCCAGACCAGCUACUUGCAGGAGCUGCUUUAUCCCUUCUGAGGGCUGACUCUUUGCAUAGGCUUUGUCUGCUUUCUGGCACCGGGCAGGCUCCGUUUCACACAAGUGGAUUUGUAAUUUAGACGCGGUUUUUGGGUUUUUUUGAUUAGUGCUUUAUGCAGAGGAACAUCAUUCUUGUACUGAUGCCUAUACAUAAGGAUAUGUUUCCAUAUAUAUGUGGAAAUUAUCAGGAAGUUAUCCGGAUUGGUAGGAAUCAUAUUACAUCUUAUUCUGCAGGGGUACCUGCUGAAAGUCUUACAAAAACUUCAUUGAAAUUAUUUUAUUUUAUUUUAUUUUUAAUGUAAUCUGCUCUGUCGGUGAUAUCCUAGGGCAGUAUGUUGACUUCAUUUAAUUUUGUAUCAUUGACAACUGAUUCCAGCAGGUUGGAGCCCUCCUCUAGUGAACUGAAGCCAUUUGUGAUGCACAAAGGAUGAGAAGGAGCUCUUCCAAAGGCAGAACUUUACUGCUCUAAGAACAGUUACAUUCAGGCCAGCAAAGACAAGGAAGCUCUAUUAUUUCACCCAAUUCGUUAGCAUGUAUUAGGUAUAAAAUUAUAAAAAUCCUUUGACAAGGAAUUCUUUUUAUUUAUUGAAGACAUAGACUUCUGAAGACAAGAGAGAUGUCUUACCUUCUGCCCCAUGCAGUGAGAAGAGCGGUAUAGCAUGGUUGUCCUGGUUCCUGUCAGAAGAGGAAUAACAUCUCCUGAUUAUCUGACUACCACUUUUCUACCUACCUUUACAUAUUUUUGUACCUUGGCAGGUGGAUCUUUGAGCCACUUGGUCCCAGUACGGUUGAGGUGCUUGGCCCUUUGUAAAUGUUUUAGCAAAGGCUGAAGUUAUUACUAUGGCAGUAUUGCUGUGUCUAAGUAUGAUUAAUAAAAGCAUUUCCUUCUCCA